RNAcentral lists this ribosomal RNA (442 nucleotides) under uncultured bacterium. RNAcentral's name for it is "bacterial SSU rRNA". It matches the Rfam family "Bacterial small subunit ribosomal RNA", at positions 8 to 454 of the family's 1533-position model. The record is from RNAcentral.
AGAGUUUGAUCCUGGCUCAGGAUGAACGCUAUCAAUAUACUUGACACAUGCAUGUCGAACGAAACUUGUUUUCGUGGCGUAAGGGUGAGUAAUACAUAAGAAUCUACCAUUAAAUAAUGAUACAAGCAGAUCUAUUUAAGAGAAAAGAUAUUUAUAUCUAAUGCAAAUAUCUAAAGAAUGAUAAUUCGUUUAAUGAUGAGCUUAUGGAAGAUUAGGUAGUUGGUGUGGGUAAAAGCCUACCAAGCCGAUGAUCUUUAGCUGGUUUGAGAGAAUGGCCAGCCACACUGGAACUGAAACAAGGUCCAGGCUUUUUCGGAAGCCAGCAGUGAGGAAUAUUGGACAAUGGGCGAAAGCCUGAUCCAGUAAUAUUGAGUGCGCGAGGAAAGCAUAAAAGACAUUUUAUAUGUUGGCUGUAAAGCGCUUUCGUCAAAGAAGAUUAUGA